RNA transcript from Phlebotomus argentipes, 3668 nucleotides. It is a transcript of the gene named solute carrier family 35 member F3, with no coding region annotated. The transcript is spliced from 7 exons. NCBI's taxonomy places the organism in Eukaryota, Metazoa, Arthropoda, Insecta, Diptera, Psychodidae. The record is from RefSeq and is a predicted model, not a curated record.
CUCUACACGUUCGCUCGCAUGUCUCUCUCGCGUACUCUCUGGGAGCUUUUCAACCCCCCAACUGAGAGAAUUGCCAUCGCUCAAGUGGAGGCUUUUACCCAUUUAAAGGGUUCUCCGCUCUCUCAGUUCUCAGUGAAAAGCCACAGAGGAAAGUCCGCUUCACGGCACGCGUGGAAAGUGGCCCAAAGAAAGGAAAAUUUUCAUUAGCACACUUGAGUUGAGAUUUUUUCUCCCCGCCCAAGAAGUUCAUCGGUCCUCCUUUGGCUCUGAUUGAGGAGUUCCAGGUGCAAACGGAGGGUGUGCAAAGUGGCAGAAUUAAUUGAUACUCGAGGCAAAAGUUGCGUAUAGUGGAAGGCAUUAAAAACUAUGACACAUAAAGUGAUAUAAAUUGUCGCUCGACAUGCAAGGCCUCUGCACAAUCGAACCCUUCGACGCUCUAUCCUCACGAGGGUGUUCUUUUUCGGGCAUUAACUGGUGUCGUGAUUAAUGAGUGCAAUUACACGUAUAAUGGAUUGAGGCACCUGUGCAGGAAACUGUGUCAACUGUUGUGAAGAAACGCACCAGAAUAUAAUCUGUAACUUCAAUGCAAAUGGACUGCUGAUCGAUGAAAGAAAGUAGCAUGGCGAGAGAUGGAGAAAUUCCCGCAAUCUUCAACCCUCGUCGGGUUCGUGCACCCUCAGUUGUGGUCACUGGAGACUCCCCGAAUGGCCCCUUUGGCGGCUUCACGCCCAGCGGCACGACAAGUGGUCCGCCUCAGAUCACGCACUCGGACUCCGUGACGUCGAGUCAGCCCGAUGCCUCGGAUCACACCACAGCGCUGAUGCACUCCAGCGGCGGCUGCCAGACGCCCACGCCCACGACAGACCACGCAACGUGCCUGGCCUCGGCCACGCGUCCGCCGCGGAGUCGCUUGCGCUCCUGCCGUGACUCGUGCUGCUCCACCAGCGCCCAGAAGAUCUACUUCGGCAUGUGCGUCACGCUGCUAGUCACGGCCACGUGGGUCGGCGCCACGCACUGCAUCAAGUUUCUCUAUCUCACCCACAACUCCUACGCCACACUGCCCGUCAUCACGCGUUCAAUGGUGGGCGAGGCGAUCGCCAACACCACCGGAUUCAUCCGCACGCGUGACUCGCUCACGUUCUCAGCCGUGGGCUUCAAUGCGCCCUUUUUCGCCUCGUGGUUCUGCACGAACUUUGCCAUCUUCUUCUUCCCCAUCUACCUCUUGGGCCGCGUGGCCAUGAAGAAGUGCGAGGCUCCUGGAGAGAUUCUGGGCGAUGUGCUGAGAGGCUUCAGGGAUCGAGGAUUCACAGUCGGUCGCUUCCUCAACCGCUGCCUCACAUUCUGCAUGCUCUGGCUCAUCACCACUUAUCUCUAUGCCCUGUCGCUACGCGCUCUUCUGGCCACGGACGUCAUGGCGCUCUUCGCCACCAAUGUAGCCUGCGUGUAUCUGCUCUCAUGGGUGAUCCUGCACGAGCAAUUUGUGGGCGUGAGGAUCGUGGCUGUGAUCCUGUGCGACACUGGCGUGGCUCUGCUGGCCUACAUGGACGGCAUCACGGGCACUCCGACACUAGGCGGAGUGGUCCUGGCGGCGCUCGCAGCCGCAGGAUAUGCCGUGUUUAAGGUGAUGUUCAAGAAGGUGAUGGGCGAUCCGCCCGUCGGUGAAAUUGCCUUCACAUUCUCCUUCCUGGGCUUCAUGAAUGCCGCUCUGUUGUGGCCCAUCUGCAUUGGACUCUAUCUGUCCGGCACCGAAGUGAUGCCGUGGGAAAUAAUGCCCUGGAUCAUCCUCCUCAUGGCCAGUGUUCUCUUGCUCUUAUUUCAUCUCCUGACACAAUUCAGCACUGCCAUCACCUACAAUGUCUUUGUGACGCUGGGACUCAUCACAUCCGUGCCAGUUUCUGCAGCUCUAGAUGCAACACUCUACGGUGCAAUUUUCGAUGGCAUGAAGUUGGCAGGCAUUAUCCUGAUUGGGGUGGGCUUCUUCCUUGUCAUGCUGCCGGACAAUUGGCCUGACUAUAUUACAAGACUGUUGCGAAAAACUGGUCGUGCAAUCCUCCGAUACCAAUGUUGUUGCGAUUAUGCUGAAAUUGAUUACGAUAAUUCGGUAGGGAGACAAAACAAAUUAUCAAAAAAUCUAUCAAAUUUUCUCAUCUCAUAGGUCAAAAGAAUAAACCAACUAUUUGACCACUCAAUUGUUGCAAAUCUCAGUCAAAUUUGUAUUCAGUUCUCAUUGUCCUUUGUUUAUCUCUUCAAAAUUCUGAUUCUUUUGUAUACAUUUGUUUUUCUUCUCUCCUCAACUCUAUAAUAGAUAUUUUUAUUAAAAUGAUGAUUUGUAAAUAUGAUUGGUUUUCCUAAAUGGCAAUGUUUUUGUGCAAUUGAGUCGCACUGAAAGUGUACCUUUUGAUUUCCUUCCCCUAAAUCACAUGUUAUCUUUAAGUGACAAUUAUUUAAUGUAAAAUCUUAGGAUGAAUCUCUAUCAAAUGUACCAAAAAGUCUAAAUCCUCUCACAAACUUUUACACACCAGUCUCUCUAUCCCUCUCUCUCUCUCUGUAUAUUUCUCUCUCUCUCUAUCUUUCAAAUUCUAUCCAAUUCCGACUUUUCGUUCAACUUUUUUCUCUUCCUAUGCAAAGAGUAUUUCUGUUUUCGAUCAACCAAUUUUCUUUAGAGAUUUCUCAUAUCAAAUCAAAUAUCAAACAAGGAUGCAUGAGGCUUUUCGAGACUUCCUCAUGGACCACAAAAUCCUUUAACUCUCAUUGUCAAAUCAUCCACACGGACGGGAGAUAUUUUCUCCAGUGAGAGACAAUGAAAAGGCCAAAAGCGUUGAAAUGUUGUGCGAAAAUGUGGCAAAUGGUAAGAGAACUUUUACGACUUUUACACAAUUUGCAAUAACUCGCUUCCUUCUUCCGCAAAUUGGCUGCAGGCGCAGAGAGAAAGCUCAAGAAGCAACAUGCAUAUUCUUUUCUCUCUUACUUACAUUUUAUAUUAUAUCAAAUAAUAUGUAACUCAAACUACUUCAAUAUCUCACAUUUUUAUCAUUUUAUUAUUAUGUAACUUUUCCACUCAGCAAUUUCUUAGCAAACAACAACAUUAUAUAUUACUUCAAAUUCUAACUUGAUGACGCUAGAAUUCUUUUCUUAUAUUUCACAUAUUUCCUGUCUCUUUGUACAUUUCCUUUUUUUUCUUUUUUGGUUUAACAAUGAACAUAAUAUAAAGACUCUUUAUAUAGCAGCAGAAUUUUAUAUAUUGUCAUUUUCCAAAUGCCAUUUCUGCACUGAAAUGCUUAUUGUUUAUCUCAUUCGUUAUUCAGACUUCCUUUCGUAAUCUCGUACUAGUGAAUAUAUGAUCAAAGAAGCUCACACAUUUAGUUGUACUUCUCCUCGUUAUACUCAAUGUUACAACUCUCUUUUCACCAUUAUUUCCACCUUCUGUUUUUUGGUGUAGGAUUUAUUGUAACAAGUUCCUAUGUUGACAAUAAAAAAAGAAAGGACUUUUGUAUUGUGCUGCCGUAAAUAUUCGUGAAAAAAAAGAAAAACACAAUCGAUGAUGGACAAAAAGCUACAUUUUCUAAAAAGUUUCAUUUUCACUUUCAGAAAUAUCAUAUUGUUGGGUCACAACGCGAGACGCCAGGCAUUCCUUAGGCGUGACAUUGUCGUGGCAUCACCGCCCGCCA